This 444-nucleotide unclassified non-coding RNA is filed under the name Hevea brasiliensis (rubber tree). The record is from RNAcentral. Lineage: Eukaryota; Viridiplantae; Streptophyta; Magnoliopsida; Malpighiales; Euphorbiaceae.
AGAGGAGCGUGCUGGUAGGAAGCUGGGUGGCCUUAAGGUUCUUAACUCUUAUUGGCUCAACGAGGUGCGUGCAUUGGUUGAACUUUUGUUAAGCCUUAUUUGUAUAGAUUUCAAUUGUCAAUUCUUAUAGCAUUUGUCCUGGUGCUAAUGAUGGGAAACAGCUAAGGUGUCUAUGAAUUUUUUAUUGGUUUGAAUUCAAUGAAUGUGUUGGUAAUAUUGAGAUGAUGGGGAAUCUUGAACAAGCUAAUUAUUCUGUAGAGGAUUUUCCAAAACAUUCUCAUCGGAGACUUAGUGUUGUGGCAAUUUGCAUGUGCAGAAGUUGAGAGCCUGUGAUUUGUGAUAGGGAUCCUGAUCCUAGCUAUUAUAAAAUAUCUAUGUAAUUCUGUCAUGCAGGAUUCAACAUACAAGUACUAUGAGGUUAUCUUGGUUGAUCCUGCACACAAU